RNAcentral lists this transfer RNA (85 nucleotides) under Fibrobacterales bacterium. RNAcentral describes it as "tRNA-Ser". It matches the Rfam family "tRNA". From Rfam's summary of the family: Transfer RNA (tRNA) molecules are approximately 80 nucleotides in length. The record is from RNAcentral. Lineage: Bacteria; Pseudomonadati; Fibrobacterota; Fibrobacteria; Fibrobacterales.
AGAGAGGUGGCAGAGUGGCUUAUCGCGCACGCUUGGAAAGCGUGUUUCCCUAAUCGGAACGUGGGUUCAAAUCCCACUCUCUCUA